CCUACGGGAGGCAGCAGUGGGGAAUAUUGCACAAUGGGGGAAACCCUGAUGCAGCGACGCCGCGUGAGUGAAGAAGCGCCUCGGCGCGUAAAGCUCUUUCAGUAGGGACGAUAAUGACGGUACCUGACGAAUAAGCACGGCCAACUACGUUCCAGCAGCCGCGGUAAUACGGAGGGGGCAAGCGUUAAUCGGAUUUACUGGGUGUAAAGGGAGCGUAGACGGGGGAGCAAGUCUGGAGUGAAAGGCCGGGGCCCAACCCAUGGACCGCACUGGAAACUGCUCGGCUGGAGUGCGGGAGAGGUAGGCGGAAUUCCUAGUGUAGCGGUGAAAUGCGUAGAGAUUAGGAGGAACACCAGCGGCGAAGGCGGCUUACUAGACCGUGACUGACGUUGAUGCUCGAAAGCGUGGGGAGCAAACAGGAUUAGAUACCCUGGUAGUC
This 439-nucleotide ribosomal RNA is filed under the name uncultured bacterium. RNAcentral's name for it is "partial 16S ribosomal RNA". It matches the Rfam family "Bacterial small subunit ribosomal RNA", at positions 338 to 795 of the family's 1533-position model. The record is from RNAcentral.